UAUAAUAUUUUUUAUUUUCAAAAAGAUAAAUUAUUUAUUGAAAGUAAUAUGUUAAUGAUCUUCCAAAGAAGAAACAGGAUUGUCAGACCCAUCUGGAUCGAUGCACUACUUUUUUGUACAGCAUGGGACCUGAUGGCAAAAGAGAGAAACUCACGGUUUUGCAGGAGACUUUCUUAGUGGAACAAGGAAUACGCGAGGUUUUAUUAAUAUCCU
This 213-nucleotide long non-coding RNA is filed under the name Durio zibethinus. RNAcentral's name for it is "long non-coding RNA (DZIB_LNC000721)". The record is from RNAcentral. Lineage: Eukaryota; Viridiplantae; Streptophyta; Magnoliopsida; Malvales; Malvaceae.